This 301-nucleotide ribosomal RNA is filed under the name uncultured bacterium. RNAcentral's name for it is "partial 16S ribosomal RNA". It matches the Rfam family "Bacterial small subunit ribosomal RNA", at positions 509 to 807 of the family's 1533-position model. The record is from RNAcentral.
CAGUCGCCACGGUAAUACAGAGGGUGCAAGCGUUAAUCGGAAUUACUGGGCGUAAAGCGUGCGCAGACGGUUACAUAAGUCGGGUGUGAAAGCCCCGGGCUCAACCUGGGAAUUGCAUUCGAGACUGUGUAGCUAGGGUACGGAAGAGGGAAGCGGAAUUUCAGGUGUAGCGGUGAAAUGCGUGGAUAUCUGAAGGAACACCAGUGGCGAAAGCGGCUUCCUGGUCCAGUACCGACGUUCAGGCACGAAAGCGUGGGGAGCAAACAGGAUUAGAUACCCCCGUAGUCCCUGUCUCUUAUAC